CAACCAGAUCAGAAAGUCGAUU
This 22-nucleotide microRNA is filed under the name Ciona intestinalis (vase tunicate). RNAcentral's name for it is "Cin-Mir-4040_3p* (star (passenger))". The record is from RNAcentral. Lineage: Eukaryota; Metazoa; Chordata; Ascidiacea; Phlebobranchia; Cionidae.